GGAGGAAUAUUGGUCAAUGGGCGCAAGCCUGAACCAGCCAAGUCGCGUGAGGGAAGACGGUCCUAUGGAUUGUAAACCUCUUUUGUCAGGGAGCAAGCGCGGGACGCGUCCCGUCGUUGAGAGUACCUGAAGAAAAAGCAUCGGCUAAUUCCGUGCCAGCAGCCGCGGUAAUACGGAAGGUCCGGGCGUUAUCCGGAUUUAUUGGGUUUAAAGGGAGCGCAGGCCGUGGGUUAAGCGUGUCGUGAAAUUCCGUCGCUCAACGGCGGACGUGCGGCGCGAACUGGUCCACUUGAGUACGCGGGACGUUGGCGGAAUUCGUGGUGUAGCGGUGAAAUGCUUAGAUAUCACGAAGAACUCCGAUUGCGAAGGCAGCUGACGGUAGCGCAACUGACGCUGAGGCUCGAAAGUGCGGGUAUCGAACAGGAUUAGAUACCCUGGUAGU
RNAcentral lists this ribosomal RNA (442 nucleotides) under uncultured Prevotella sp. RNAcentral describes it as "bacterial SSU rRNA". It matches the Rfam family "Bacterial small subunit ribosomal RNA", at positions 355 to 794 of the family's 1533-position model. Lineage: Bacteria; Pseudomonadati; Bacteroidota; Bacteroidia; Bacteroidales; Prevotellaceae. The record is from RNAcentral.